AUACGGAGGGUGCAAGCGUUAAUCGGAAUUACUGGGCGUAAAGCGUGCGUAGGCGGUUUGUUAAGUCGGAUGUGAAAGCGCCGGGCUCAACCUGGGAACUGCAUUCGAAACUGGCAGGCUAGAGUAUGGUAGAGGGAAGUGGAAUUCCGGGUGUAGCGGUGAAAUGCGUAGAUAUCCGGAGGAACAUCAGUGGCGAAGGCGGCUUCCUGGACCAAUACUGACGCUGAGGCGCGAAAGCGUGGGGAGCAAACAGGAUUAGAAACCCCGGUAGUCC
Molecule: ribosomal RNA, 274 nt
Filed under: uncultured bacterium
Lineage: Bacteria
Description: partial 16S ribosomal RNA
Rfam family: Bacterial small subunit ribosomal RNA
Source: RNAcentral